Molecule: ribosomal RNA, 169 nt
Filed under: Enterobacter cloacae
Lineage: Bacteria; Pseudomonadati; Pseudomonadota; Gammaproteobacteria; Enterobacterales; Enterobacteriaceae
Description: partial 16S ribosomal RNA
Rfam family: Bacterial small subunit ribosomal RNA
Source: RNAcentral
UCCUACGGGAGGCAGCAGUGGGGAAUAUUGCACAAUGGGCGCAAGCCUGAUGCAGCCAUGCCGCGUGUAUGAAGAAGGCCUUCGGGUUGUAAAGUACUUUCAGCGGGGAGGAAGGUGUUGUGGUUAAUAACCACAGCAAUGACGUACCGCAGAAGAAGAACCCAUCGGC